UCUGAGGAAGAUUUGGGACCCUUUGACCUCCGCAAAAGCAAUACAAGAUGAAAUCAGAGUUAUAAGGAAGCUCGGGGAAGAAUCAAGGAAGGAAAAUUGGGAAGGCAGGGAGAAAAUUAAUUGUAUCGAAGAGAAAUUCAAGGAAAUCGAGAAGAUCAGAAGCAGUUUGAUGAAGCAAUCAGAUGAUUUAUGUCGAAAAAGAGAUGAAGCAAUCCAAUGCAUUCUUAAAUUAAUCGAACAACGCCGUGAAGCUGUAUGUAAUUGCUUACAUUCCUUUUAUGUAUAACAAUUUAUUUUUCUAAAGAAUUUAACCGUCACGAAAUGUUAUUUUUUUUUACGUAAUCGUAAUAACUUGUUAAGAUAAAAUUUAAUUUAAUCACUGCAGUUUCAUUAAUAUACAACUGAUUUGAGUUA
Non-coding RNA from Carica papaya (papaya), 414 nucleotides. The record is from RefSeq and is a predicted model, not a curated record. Lineage: Eukaryota; Viridiplantae; Streptophyta; Magnoliopsida; Brassicales; Caricaceae.